Molecule: ribosomal RNA, 582 nt
Filed under: uncultured bacterium
Lineage: Bacteria
Description: partial 16S ribosomal RNA
Rfam family: Bacterial small subunit ribosomal RNA
Source: RNAcentral
UGGGGAAUAUUGCACAAUGGGCGCAAGCCUGAUGCAGCCAUGCCGCGUGUGUGAAGAAGGCCUUCGGGUUGUAAAGCACUUUCAGCGAGGAGGAAGGUGGUGAGCUUAAUACGCUCAUCAAUUGACGUUACUCGCAGAAGAAGCACCGGCUAACUCCGUGCCAGCAGCCGCGGUAAUACGGAGGGUGCAAGCGUUAAUCGGAAUUACUGGGCGUAAAGCGCACGCAGGCGGUUUGUUAAGUCAGAUGUGAAAUCCCCGGGCUCAACCUGGGAACUGCAUUUGAAACUGGCAAGCUAGAGUCUCGUAGAGGGGGGUAGAAUUCCAGGUGUAGCGGUGAAAUGCGUAGAGAUCUGGAGGAAUACCGGUGGCGAAGGCGGCCCCCCUGGACGAAGACUGACGCUCAGGUGCGAAAGCGUGGGGCAGCAAACAGGAUUAGAUACCCUGGUAGUCCACGCUGUAAAACGAUGUCGAUUUGGAGGUUGUGCCCUUGAGGCGUGGCUUCCGGAGCUAACGCGUUAAAUCGACCGCCUGGGGAGUACGGCCGCAAGGUUAAAACUCAAAGGAAUUGACGGGGUCUAGCUG